GCCAACCAAUGCAUCCAUCAUCCUAAAUAAAUUGCCACAAAUUCAAUAAUGCAGGCAGGAAUUUGGAGAUUUGUGCUAAAGUGGUGGGAAGCAUUUUCUUCAAUGCAGAGAGAAAUGUGGAACUCAACAAUAUGGUCAUUAUUGGUUUCUGUCCAUCCAUUGUUAUGCUAUUAUCAAAUAACAAGACUGCUAGCAGAUACUGAAAGAAACAUCAGUGUGCACUUCAAGCCAGACUUUUCACUUGAUGAAGCCUUAGAAACAUUACUAGAUGAGGAUAUGACUGGAGAUAUUUUCAUGGAGCCUCCAGACAUCAAUGUAGAAACAUGAGGAUUCACUAUAUGAGAAUGAGGUUCUCCAUCUGUCAGUCGACCUCGGAGAAGUGCUGACAUCACUGAAGAGGUGUGGCUACCGAUUCUGCCGCUGUCAGUCAUUUGGCCACACAGCUGGGGCAAUGUGCUUACAUUGUUUUUGUGUAUCAAAUAACUCAUCUACAUGUUUUUCAUCAUUUUAUCUCUAUCAAUCCUUUGUCUAAUUGUUGGAAAUGUCCAAAAAUAGUGUUUCUUGAAUGUUAACCUACAACAACAACAAAUGCUUUAAAGUGUGUAAUGACAGCAUUGUUGAAAUUGUUUGUUGCACACUAUGUGCAGAAGAAUUUAGAGACCAUGUGAAAACACCUAACAUACUAAUGCUAUUAAUGCUACUGCCUCACCAUAUAUGAGAUCCCAUUUAUAGAUUUUUUUUUUUUUUUACACAAGAUGGGAAUAACAGUGACCUAUAGUGUGCUGCUACAGAGGCUACAUUUUCAUGCAACACAGCUAGAAACUAACUCAGUGUCAAAACAUUAGAAUACACGUCUAAAAUGCUUAAAAAAGUUAUAUGACCCAAAAUUUUUAUCUGCUAGAACCAAAACCAAGACAGUUAUUGUUAGCAUUAUUUCACGAUUAUGAAAUGUUGCAUUCUCUAGAACACAUUAAUUCUGCAAUAGUAAUGACAGAUACCUCAAACAGAAGUGAAGUAAACUUGUUCCCAUUGUCGUAAGAUCUUUUGGACUGGAGGAGAGAAUUCAAAUGAAACUUUUAAAUUUCAGUAAUGUGUCAGGUGAAUCUGCUCAAAUUUACUCAGUAUCUUUUGCAGUCUGCGAAAAAAUACUAAACUGUUAUACCGCCCAUAACAAUUAUAGGACACCUGGUCUGCAGGAAGGGAUAGACUUUCAGUAUCUUCUGUAAAACAUCGGCUAAAUAUUAAAAUUAAAUCAGAAUUUUCUUGUGAAUUUUGCAGUGUAAUAAAACAGA
Molecule: long non-coding RNA, 1292 nt
Organism: Schistocerca nitens (vagrant locust)
Lineage: Eukaryota; Metazoa; Arthropoda; Insecta; Orthoptera; Acrididae
Exons: 4
Source: RefSeq, a predicted model, not a curated record